Non-coding RNA from Pelobates cultripes (western spadefoot toad), 178 nucleotides. The record is from the annotation of a GenBank genome assembly. Lineage: Eukaryota; Metazoa; Chordata; Amphibia; Anura; Pelobatidae.
AGUCCUAGACAGGAGAGUAAUGUGAGGGAAGGGGGUCCCUACCUUUAAUAAUCCUAAAGGAAAAACAGAAUUAAAAUUGAAAUAGGACUGUCCUAUUUCAAUUUUAAUUCUGUUUUUCCUUUAGGAUUAUUAAAGGUAGGGAUCCCCUUCCCUCACAUUACUCUCCUGUCUAGGACUU